GACGAACGCUGGCGGCGUGCCUAAUACAUGCAAGUCGAACGCUUUUUCUUUCACCGGAGCUUGCUCCACCGAAAGAAAAAGAGUGGCGAACGGGUGAGUAACACGUGGGUAACCUGCCCAUCAGAAAGGGAUAACACUUGGAAACAGGUGCUAAUACCGUAUAACACUAUUUUCCGCAUGGAAGAAAGUUGAAAGGCGCUUUUGCGUCACUGAUGGAUGGACCCGCGGUGCAUUAGCUAGUUGGUGAGGUAACGGCUCACCAAGGCAACGAUGCAUAGCCGACCUGAGAGGGUGAUCGGCCACACUGGGACUGAGACACGGCCCAGACUCCUACGGGAGGCAGCAGUAGGGAAUCUUCGGCAAUGGACGAAAGUCUGACCGAGCAACGCCGCGCGAGUGAAGAAGGUUUUCGGAUCGUAAAACUCUGUUGUUAGAGAAGAACAAGGAUGAGAGUAAAACGUUCAUCCCUU
RNAcentral lists this ribosomal RNA (470 nucleotides) under Enterococcus casseliflavus. RNAcentral's name for it is "bacterial SSU rRNA". It matches the Rfam family "Bacterial small subunit ribosomal RNA", at positions 28 to 470 of the family's 1533-position model. The record is from RNAcentral. Lineage: Bacteria; Bacillati; Bacillota; Bacilli; Lactobacillales; Enterococcaceae.